This 1357-nucleotide long non-coding RNA is filed under the name Salmo salar (Atlantic salmon). RNAcentral describes it as "lncRNA (ENSSSAG00000107772.1)". Lineage: Eukaryota; Metazoa; Chordata; Actinopteri; Salmoniformes; Salmonidae. The record is from RNAcentral.
UAUUAUUUUAUAAUAAUACAUUAUUAUUUUAUAUUUUUAAGGAAAUAUAAAAAAUAAAUAGGUUCCCAAAAUAAUUUGUAAAAAAUAGGUCCAUACAACGGAAUAAAAAUUACUUUUACAAUACCACCUACUUUAAAAUCAAAUUGUUUCUAAGUACAUUUCAUUAAAGCAUACAUCCAUGUAUAUGUCUGCUUACUGUAUGCAAAAGCAUCUAUGACAAAAAGUCUGAGCCACAUCCUAAUGUGCAGUCAGCAUCAUGACUAACCUCAGUAGGGACAAGCCACAUAGACCGAGACGGCGAGCCCAAGGGAACAUAGCCUGUCUCUGUCUCUACCAGACUGGGGGAGGUGGAGGUCUGGAGGAGGGGGUCUCUGGGAGGCAAUAAGUAGCAGCUUAUAAAAUAAGCAAACACAUUUGAGGCAGCACCCAGACAGGCCAGGCUGCACAGCAGACGACAUCCCCCCUCUGACCUUGACCCUUAGGGUCCUUCUUCACCUGCUCCUGAAUGGAAGUCAGUGCAGCUGGGCUGUCUAGCCAUUUGCCUGACUGGAUCCCCCCAUAAUUUUCCCCCCGUUCCCACGCUUGGUUACCAUCCCCCUCUUUUGGGGUUGCUCUGAGACUGAAUGGUCAAAUAUCAUUUUUGUGUGGUGAAUUGUGACUGGCUGCUUCUGAUGUCUGAUGAUACAGCUCAAUCAUCAAACAUGUGCUUUCUAUUUGCCUUCUGUUUUAGCCUGUUUCUUCUUUCCUUUCUUUCACACUAUUCUUCCCGUUGGUUGUAGAUUUCCCCCUUUAAUCACCCCACAAUUAUUACCCUUUCAGAUGUAGCAGUUAUUUCAGCUGUUGGUUGAUUUUUCUCUCCAUUUUUUGUAGAAAAAAGCAUAGACAGGGGAGUUGGUGUAUAGUGUGUGUUAAGUGAAGCUUUGUGCUGAUGCUGGGGCUAAUGUUACGAGUUAAGCAACAUGCUGGGCUGUAAGGUGUGUGUUCGGUCCUGAUCAGUGUUUGUAUGUGAGUGUGUGUGUGAGUGUGUGUGUGUGUGUGUGAGUGUGUGUGUGUGUGUGUGUGAAGAAACUGGCAACUGUAAUCUGAGCUAUUAGUCUGAUGCUUUCCCUCUAGCCAGUCACAGCAUCUGGUCCUAUUAUAAAAAUCAGCAAAGCGCUGGUGGAGUUCAUAAACAUAAUCCUGUUUACCAAUAACCUGCUAUAUCCCCAACCCCAAAGGUCCACCAAGUUUGGGAUAUUUUGCAAUUACCAGUAUAUAGGUAAACCCCCCCUAAAAUAACAAAAACUGUGCAAUAGAGACAGUCAAACUCUUGCUUCACUGCCUUAGCUGUGCCGGCGCCGACAGAGAUGGCCGCCUC